GAGUAAUGUCUGGGAAACUGCCCGAUGGAGGGGGAUAACUACUGGAAACGGUAGCUAAUACCGCAUAACGUCGCAAGACCAAAGUGGGGGACCUUCGGGCCUCACACCAUCGGAUGUGCCCAGAUGGGAUUAGCUAGUAGGUGGGGUAAUGGCUCACCUAGGCGACGAUCCCUAGCUGGUCUGAGAGGAUGACCAGCCACACUGGAACUGAGACACGGUCCAGACUCCUACGGGAGGCAGCAGUGGGGAAUAUUGCACAAUGGGCGCAAGCCUGAUGCAGCCAUGCCGCGUGUAUGAAGAAGGCCUUCGGGUUGUAAAGUACUUUCAGCGGGGAGGAAGGCGGUGAGGUUAAUAACCUCACCGAUUGACGUUACCCGCAGAAGAAGCACCGGCUAACUCCGUGCCAGCAGCCGCGGUAAUACGGAGGGUGCAAGCGUUAAUCGGAAUUACUGGGCGUAAAGCGCACGCAGGCGGUCUGUCAAGUCGGAUGUGAAAUCCCCGGGCUUAACCUGGGAACUGCAUUCGAAACUGGCAGGCUAGAGUCUUGUAGAGGGGGGUAGAAUUCCAGGUGUAGCGGUGAAAUGCGUAGAGAUCUGGAGGAAUACCGGUGGCGAAGGCGGCCCCCUGGACAAAGACUGACGCUCAGGUGCGAA
This 653-nucleotide ribosomal RNA is filed under the name uncultured bacterium. RNAcentral describes it as "bacterial SSU rRNA". It matches the Rfam family "Bacterial small subunit ribosomal RNA", at positions 108 to 757 of the family's 1533-position model. The record is from RNAcentral.